Molecule: ribosomal RNA, 477 nt
Filed under: Triticum aestivum (bread wheat)
Lineage: Eukaryota; Viridiplantae; Streptophyta; Magnoliopsida; Poales; Poaceae
Description: partial small subunit ribosomal RNA
Source: RNAcentral
AUGUGUGCUGUUGUUUACUUCGUCGUUCCUGUUUUAGAGACUCUUGCAGCUCGUUGUGCUUUGCCGGCCUUGUUUUACUUGUGUGAGGUGACUGAGGACGGUUCUGUUUUGGCUGGGGUAGAGCUUGAGCUUCCUUUGGAAGGCGUCGGCGCGGUGUCACGGAGGCAGUUCUUUUGGAGCACAGCCUGGCGUGGCUGCGUUGGCGCUUACGAUCACGCUGCUGUGCAGGUCAUCAAUUUUUUGCAACGAAUCUAUGGGUUCGUUGUGCGAGACUACAACUAUGAAUGCAUGAUGGCGUAUAGGGAAUCCAUGCGUUCUGCUGUUCUUGUCGCUGUGUAUGCUGCUCGGCACGCCGGGAGAUUGGAGAGAGAGGUUUCUGUAGGGCCAGGGUUAUUUACCUCGCCUCCUGUUGAGCGGGGAACGUUAGAUUGGAAUUUAUUGUGCUCUCAGCUUAUGGCAUCCAUGCGUAAUGUGUAG